Molecule: ribosomal RNA, 404 nt
Filed under: uncultured bacterium
Lineage: Bacteria
Description: bacterial SSU rRNA
Rfam family: Bacterial small subunit ribosomal RNA
Source: RNAcentral
UGGGGAAUAUUGGACAAUGGGGGCAACCCUGAUCCAGCAAUGCCGCGUGAGUGAUGAAGGCCUUAGGGUUGUAAAGCUCUUUUACCGGGGACGAUGAUGACGGUACCCGGAGAAUAAGCCCCGGCUAACUUCGUGCCAGCAGCCGCGGUAAUACGAAGGGGGCGAGCGUUGUUCGGAGUUACUGGGCGUAAAGGGCGCGUAGGCGGCGAUCCAAGUUAGGCGUGAAAGCCCCGGGCUUAACCUGGGAAUAGCGCUUAAGACUGGAUUGCUUGAGUGCGGGAGAGGUGAGUGGAAUUCCCAGUGUAGAGGUGAAAUUCGUAGAUAUUGGGAAGAACACCAGUGGCGAAGGCGGCUCACUGGCCCGCAACUGACGCUGAGGCGCGAAAGCGUGGGGAGCAAACAGG